GCAAAUCCCAUGCCAUUUUAUACAAGGGACUCGAGCAUCUGAUUUUGGUAUCCAUGUGGGUCCUGUAACGCACCCCUGUGGAUAGUGAGGACAGACUGUAUAUAUGAAAGUAUUAAGCUCAUAACAUGAGGAGGGAAGCGGGAAGGGUAAGUGCAGUGGUGUGAGGAACUCUCAGUCCUUUGGCACCACUGGAGGGUGCCAGGACAUUCUUACUCCAAAAAUUGAUCAUUAAAGGGGAAAUAAUGAAGUGCUUAUGCUGCCUUUCUAGUAUGAACGCACUUCAGGGUAACCUGACUUACCCUAAUGGAUAAAGGGAAGGUCUGAGAGAAUUCCAGCCACUAAAUGUCCUUCUAAUGAGACAGAAGACGAGAAUUCUGCAGUCCCAGUGGAGGUUCUGGUUCUAGCAAUGGUCACCCACAGGUAGCAAAACUGUCAGGGGAACAGUUGAUGGGAAACUGACGAUAAAGGGGUCAGGCUAUCGCCAUCCAAGCUUAUUAAUGCUUCAACAAAGUGACACAAUCGGACAUGAGGAACUGAGCACCGCCCGGGUGUGAUUCCAGCCACAACUUUAGAUCCAACUUCCAGAUGACAGGAUAUAGAGGGGACAGAGGAACAAGUUAAAUACUACAAGGAGGAUGCUGAGUCCAGACUGGGGACACCUUCAAGGACAAGUGACCAGCUUCACCAACAAGUCAAGGGCACAGGGGAGGGAAGAGGGGGACUUUUAGGAUCAAAAGGAUCCUAAAAGACUUUGUAGCUAAACACAAACGUGAAUAAAGCUUUGAUAAUCCGA
Molecule: long non-coding RNA, 793 nt
Filed under: Pongo abelii (Sumatran orangutan)
Lineage: Eukaryota; Metazoa; Chordata; Mammalia; Primates; Hominidae
Description: lincRNA
Source: RNAcentral